Molecule: ribosomal RNA, 253 nt
Filed under: uncultured bacterium
Lineage: Bacteria
Description: partial 16S ribosomal RNA
Rfam family: Bacterial small subunit ribosomal RNA
Source: RNAcentral
UACGUAGGUGGCUAGCGUUGUCCGGAUUUACUGGGCGUAAAGAGCGCGCAGGCGGUCGUUCAAGUCGAGUGUGAAAGCCCCCGGCUCAACUGGGGAGGGUCACGCGAUACUGUUCGACUCGAAGGCAGGAGAGGGAAGCGGAAUUCCCGGUGUAGUGGUGAAAUGCGUAGAUAUCGGGAGGAACACCAGUGGCGAAGGCGGCUUCCUGGCCUGUUCUUGACGCUGAGGCGCGAAAGCUAGGGUAGCAAACGGG